AGAGUUUGAUCCUGGCUCAGGAGGAACGCUGGCGGCGUGCCUAACACAUGCAAGUCGAGCGAGAAGUAAAUUAACAGAGACUUCGGUCAAAGUAAAUUUAUGGAAAGCGGCGGACGGGUGAGUAACGCGUAGGCAACCUGCCCUUUGCACAGGGAUAGCCUCGGGAAACCGGGAUUAAAACCUGAUAACGCCGAGAGAACACAUGUU
RNAcentral lists this ribosomal RNA (207 nucleotides) under uncultured oral bacterium HWA. RNAcentral describes it as "16S ribosomal RNA". It matches the Rfam family "Bacterial small subunit ribosomal RNA", at positions 8 to 194 of the family's 1533-position model. The record is from RNAcentral.